This is a long non-coding RNA of Callithrix jacchus (white-tufted-ear marmoset), 3769 nucleotides long. Lineage: Eukaryota; Metazoa; Chordata; Mammalia; Primates; Cebidae. The record is from Ensembl.
UGACAAUUCACUCUAAUUAAUAUGUAUAUGUAGAAUAGUUUUAUGACCGAGAGUUUAAAAAGAUUCCUCUACUGGAGAGAGCCUAUUGCCAUUAGGUAAGUGUAAUUAGCAUCUUCUUCUAUGGCAAAUCUGCAGAGACUGAGAUAGGAACUUGGCCUGUGAUAAUUUCCCUCUAAUUGGAUAAAAUGCCCUUCACUGAAAGAAAGCAAACCUGAAGAGUAGCUUUCUCUAAACUAGCAAUGAGUCUUUACUAUGUGUAAUUAAAAUUCAGAUACAACAAGCUCUCCCCACUGCUGCCCAUCUGCCAGCCAGCACAUUGUAUAUGGGGCUAUGUGAUACAGCACUUGUGGGUAUUUGGAGGAAGCCAGAACUCUCUCCAAUCCCGCCACUGAAGGAAGGGAGAACACACACCCACGCCAAAGGGGAGAGGGCAGUGAGGACAUUCCAGAGAGGCUCAUGUUCCCUCAGGGGCACUGGAACGAAAUAAAAGUGUUUCAAAGGGAAGCCGGACUGCUUCCCUCCCACAGGCAACAAACUUUAUCUCAUCUUAAGCACUGGAGUUCUAAAAGCCACACUCAGGGCACCUGGAAGACAAGAUGGGAAAACAAGCCCAGAGAAUAAAUAAUGAAGAAUGACUGCCACCGCCCUAAAGACUUCCAAAGACUUCGAAGGGAAAGGUAACGUCAUCAACCUCGACAGCUCUGGAGUCAUAACCUCAAGGAGAAAUAGGAUAAGGAGGGACUAUAGCAAACUAAACAAUAUUCAAGUGGUAUAUGUGCACGUCUGUUACAUGGGUAUAUUGCUUGACUCCGAGGCCUGGGGUAUUAAUGAUUCUAACACCAAGUAGUACUUGAGGAAUCACCACACUGUCUUCCACAAUGGUUGAACUAAUUUACACUCCCACCAAGAGUGUAAAAGUGUUCCUGUUUCUCCACAUCCUCUUCAGCAUCUGUUGUCUCCAGACUUUUUAAUGAUCCCCAUUCUAACAGGCGUGAGAUGGUAUCUCAAUGUGGGUUUGAUUGUUUUUUUAUAUUUUUGUUGGCUACACGCAUGUCUUCUUUUGAGAAGUGUAUAUUCAUGUCCUUUGCCCAUUUUUAACGGUGUUGUUUUUUGCUUGUUAAAUUGCUUAAGUUCUUUAUAGAUUCUGGAUAUGAGACCUUUGUCAGAUACAUAAUUUGCAAAUAUUUUUUCCCAUGCAAUGAUUUUUCUUAGGAAACAUUUUUCCAUAGAAAAAUAAAACUAGAUUUUUAUGUUAGCAGUGGCAGAAACUACUGGAUGUCAACAAACUUAAAAUGCAAAUUUUAAAAUCAAUAUUAAAAUAAUUACUUAGAAUUUUUAUGUACUGUAUAUCUACAAAAAUGUUGAGUUUUUUAGAUAUAGAUUUUUAUCAAAUAUCACACAAAAUCACAUUGCUCUGUUUCCUUGCCUUUCUGCAGAAACCCAGUGUGAUUUUGUGAAGAUAUUUUGAAUCAUGAACACAACAUAUGCAGUACUGUCAAUGCAAGUAACUCAAAUGAAGUGAUGACAAGAUAAAACACUUGUGAUCAAGUUCAGGAGUGUGUAGGCAGUGACGAUUACGUUGUGACUGUCACCUGGCCAACAGUAAUUCAUUUUAAGUUGAAUCCCUGAUUCAGAAGUAGCCAAGUAUAAAAAUAUGCAUAUUACUAUUAAUGAAAUACUUUCAUCUAUAGUGCUUAAAUGAGUUUCUGAAGUAUUAAUUUUAUAGGAAAACUUACGUUUACUUUUCUUUAAACCUUAAAAAUUUUAAAAACUAUAUAUUUAAAAAUAAACUACUUUCACAACAGAAUCAAUCCGUGGUCAAUGAUUGAACUGACUGAAUAUUUUAUGCUGCUUUUUUGCCUAGGGUAAUCUACAGUGCUAUCCACUAAACUGCUGCUCUCUUGCUUCAAGAAAGAAUGAAUAAAACCUUCAAAGUAACUCAUAACUUUUUACAAGGAACUGAAAUAAGUCAACAUCAUGAAUAUAAAUAUUUCAAACUUGAUAAAAACAAACAUUUAAUUACCUAAAGCUCUAGGUUGGGUACUUCAGGGAAUACAAUAAUAAUAAAAAUAUUCCAGGUGGGGGAAAAAAAUAUUCCAGGCUGGGCAGGGUGGCUCACUUCUGUAAUCCCAGCACUUUGGGAGGCCAAGGCAGGCAGAUCACUUGAGGCCAGGAGUUUCAGACCAUCCUUGCCAACAUGGUGAAAGAUUUGGAAAGUGUUGAGAAGGAGGUGGGAUUUGAAUAAAGUCUGGAAGAAUAAUUUGAGAAAAUAUACUAGAAAUAAAUGCAUUGAGGGUUUACUAUUUUAGGUGCUACAGAUACAUAUUCACAUUAAAUUCUAAUAGGUAUUAUUAUUCUCAGUUUACAUAUGGGAAAACUGAGGCCAGAUAAAUUAAGGAAUUUGCUCAAAAUGCCACAACCUAAGCUGGUUCCAUUUUCAGCACAGCCUUUUCCAAGCCUUCUACUUUCCACAAGAGUCAACAAAGUGCAGAAUGGAUCCUGAAGAAGACUCGGUUGGAAUUCUCCCUUCCUUACAGUCCUGAUUUGUGUAAAGCGCUCAACUUCUCUGUUUCUAUAAUUUGCUUAUCAAGGAGAUAACAUUAUUUUUCCAAGGGACUGUUGAGGUACUUAAAUGAGCUCUUGCAAGUAAAACGCCUGGAAUAGCAAUUGGCAUACAGCGCUCAAUGGGUAUUAGCCAUUAUGUUGUAAGAAAAAGUAGAAAUAGGGAAGAGGGAAAGAGUAGACAGUGAGGAGGAGGAGGAGAUGAGGAAGAUUUUCACCCACUCAAAGUGUCUCCUUGACAAGUAGAGUGCAUUCCGGAACAAGGGAUCAGAAUAGCAAAUACGUAGAUAGGCAAAGACACAUCUUUAUCUGCUUUCUUACUAAAAAUCUAGGAAAUAUGGGCAGGAGCUGUCAUGCUGGUAUCAUUCCAGCCUAGAUGAAAAUUACUGGGAAUAUAUGUUCCAAUGGUCUUGACAGUAAACAGAUUAUCAUACUUUAAUUUUUCUUUAGUUUUUUUUUUUUUUGAGAUGGAGGUUUGAUCCUGUCCCCCAGGCUGGAGUGCAGUGGCACGGUCUCAGCUCACUGCAACUUCCACCUCCUGGAUUCAAGCGAUUCUCCUGCCUCAGCCUCCCGAGUAGCUGGGAUUAUACAUGCCCACCACCACGCCUGGAUAAUUUUUUGUAUUUUUAGUAGAGAGGAGGUUUUUCCAUGUUGGCCAGACUAGUCCUGAACUCCUGACCUCAGGUGAUCUGCCUGCCUCUGCCUCCCAAAGUGCUCGGAUCCUCCCAAAGGAACUGGAUAUUUGGUAUCUCUAGCAAGACAGAGCUGCUUUAGAGUCUCCCCAGGGAAGGAUGGUGCUUUUGGGCAGGUAGGUAGUUUGGUGAAGGUGAUGACAAAAAUCCUAAGGGGCCUGACUCCUGGGAAGCCUCCCUCUUUCCCCACUUUACCAAUUAUCUCACUUUCAUAAUAAGGUCUGUGCUUUCCUUAAUUGCUUCACUUCCACCAACAGGUGCAGGGGAAAGAUAAAUACAUUUCACCUUUCAAUGAAGAGAUUGUCAGGUAGCCUGUGGGAGAUGUUUAUAUAUUAAUAAUAAUAAUUUUAAAAAUCUGGUAGGGGGCGGUGUCUCACACCUGUAAUCCCAGCACUUUGGGAGGCAAGUGGAUCGCCUGAGGUCAGGAAUUUGAGACCAGCCUGGGCAACAUGGCGAAAUCCAGUCUAUACCAAAAAUAACAAAAAUUAGCCUGGCUGAUAGUGCGCACCUGUAAU